CUGCUCUAAAAACAGUCUUUAUCAACAGCAGUUCACCUAGUGAGUGUUGAUACUUUGAGUCUGAGAGA
Molecule: small nucleolar RNA, 68 nt
Organism: Cynocephalus volans (Philippine flying lemur)
Lineage: Eukaryota; Metazoa; Chordata; Mammalia; Dermoptera; Cynocephalidae
Product: small nucleolar RNA SNORD56
Exons: 1
Source: RefSeq, a predicted model, not a curated record